Molecule: ribosomal RNA, 467 nt
Filed under: uncultured bacterium
Lineage: Bacteria
Description: partial 16S ribosomal RNA
Rfam family: Bacterial small subunit ribosomal RNA
Source: RNAcentral
GACGAACGCUGGCGGCGUGCUUAACACAUGCAAGUCGAACGGAAAGGCCCUGCUUUUGUGGGGUGCUCGAGUGGCGAACGGGUGAGUAACACGUGAGUAACCUGCCCUUGACUUUGGGAUAACUUCAGGAAACUGGGGCUAAUACCGGAUAGGAGCUCCUGCUGCAUGGUGGGGGUUGGAAAGUUUCGGCGGUUGGGGAUGGACUCGCGGCUUAUCAGCUUGUUGGUGGGGUAGUGGCUUACCAAGGCUUUGACGGGUAGCCGGCCUGAGAGGGUGACCGGCCACAUGGGGAAUGAGAUAAGGCCCAGACUCCUACGGGGGGAAGCAGGGGGGAAUAUGGAACAAUGGGCGGAAGCCUGAUGCAGCAACGCCGCGUGCGGGAUGACGGCCUUCGGGUUGUAAACCGCUUUCGCCUGUGACGAAGCGUGAGUGACGGGAAUGGGUAAAGAAGCACCGGCUAACUACGU